Molecule: ribosomal RNA, 465 nt
Filed under: Vreelandella stevensii
Lineage: Bacteria; Pseudomonadati; Pseudomonadota; Gammaproteobacteria; Oceanospirillales; Halomonadaceae
Description: partial 16S ribosomal RNA
Rfam family: Bacterial small subunit ribosomal RNA
Source: RNAcentral
CCUACGGGAGGCUGCAGCGGGGAAUAUUGGACAAUGGGGGCAACCCUGAUCCAGCCAUGCCGCGUGUGUGAAGAAGGCCCUCGGGUUGUAAAGCACUUUCAGUGAGGAAGAACGCCUGGUGGUUAAUACCCAUCAGGAAAGACAUCACUCACAGAAGAAGCACCGGCUAACUCCGUGCCAGCAGCCGCGGUAAUACGGAGGGUGCGAGCGUUAAUCGGAAUUACUGGGCGUAAAGCGCGCGUAGGUGGCUUGAUAAGCCGGUUGUGAAAGCCCCGGGCUCAACCUGGGAACGGCAUCCGGAACUGUCAAGCUAGAGUGCAGGAGAGGAAGGUAGAAUUCCCGGUGUAGCGGUGAAAUGCGUAGAGAUCGGGAGGAAUACCAGUGGCGAAGGCGGCCUUCUGGACUGACACUGACACUGAGGUGCGAAAGCGUGGGUAGCAAACAGGAUUAGAUACCCUAGUAGUC